CCUACGGGAGGCAGCAGUGAGGAAUAUUGGUCAAUGGGCGCGAGCCUGAACCAGCCAAGUCGCGUGAGGGAUGACGGUCCUACGGAUUGUAAACCUCUUUUGCCGGGGAGCAAGCGUGCGUUCGUGAAUGCGCGUCGAGAGUACCCGGAGAAAAAGCAUCGGCUAACUACGUGCCAGCAGCCGCGGUAAUACAGGGGUGGCGAGCGUUCUCAGGAAGUAUUGGGUUGAAAGCGUGCGUAGGCGGGGUGCUAAGUCAGCAGUAAAAAUGCGGGGCUCAAUGACGUCGAGCUGUGGAUACUGGCAAUAUGGAGUGGGAUAGAGGGAAGCGGAAUGGCAGGUGAAGCGGUGAAAUGCGUAGAUAUAGGGAAGAACACCAGAGGCGAAGGCAGCUUACUGGGUCUAUACUGACGCUGAGGGACGAAAGCGUGGGGAGCAAACAGGAUUAGAUACCCCAGUAGUC
This 460-nucleotide ribosomal RNA is filed under the name uncultured bacterium. RNAcentral's name for it is "partial 16S ribosomal RNA". It matches the Rfam family "Bacterial small subunit ribosomal RNA", at positions 338 to 795 of the family's 1533-position model. The record is from RNAcentral.